AACCCUUAGACAGGUAUGGCUUAACCAAAUGACUUGAGCAUCUAUCAAGGAAAUCAGCAGCAUAAUAUGAGACAUAUUGCAGUUAUAUAAGUACUAAAUCUUCAUUAGGCCAGGGGAAAAUUCUAGCUUUGAUAAAUGUACCUGAAAGGAGUAAUUUAGGGGAGCAGAAAUAGUACAGUGAGGAGAGAGCAUGUGCUUUCCACGUGGAGCCCUGUGUUCACUCCCAAUAAUGCCAAAGAAAAAGUGUCAACAAGCACAAUGAGAAAAAUCUUACCUACCAAAUCAUCUACUUUUUCUAACUUUUAAAAUUGUGAGUACUCUUUCAAAGGUUAUGUGACUUUUUUAACAGAUCUGUGCAAAUAAUUAUUUUGAAAUCAAUAUUUUAGGAUUGAAUUGGAGUAUUUACGCCUAAAAGAAAAUGUGAAAAGCCUCGAAAUGGAGAUUUUGAGCCUGAAAAAGAAAAUGAAGAAACCAGCAGGAAAACUUGAACGAGCUUGGAAACACUUGUCAAAUGACAGGGAAAGUUUGACAGAAGCACAAGAUCAAGGUACAAGCUCUGUGCAACAUGAUGAAAAAAUGGAAGAACCCUUAGACAGGUAUGGCUUAACCAAAUGACUUGAGAAUCUAUAAAGGAAAUUAGCAGCAUAAUAUGAGACAUAUUGCAGUUAUAUAAGUACUAAAUCUUCAUUAGGCCAGGGGAAAAUUCUAGCUUUGAUAAAUGUACCUGAAAGGAGUAAUUUAGGGGAGCAGAAAUAGUACAGUGAGGAGAGAGCAUGUGCUUUCCACGUGGAGCCCUGUGUUCAUUCCCA
Long non-coding RNA from Cavia porcellus (domestic guinea pig), 809 nucleotides. NCBI's taxonomy places the organism in Eukaryota, Metazoa, Chordata, Mammalia, Rodentia, Caviidae. The record is from Ensembl.